UGCUUCUAUUCUAACGGUUGCCUUCUAAACGGCUAAUUCUGAUAGCGAUAAGGUUAUUGACCUUUCCUGCGCUCUAUUUUUUUUUCAAAGGUCUGUGAUGAGAAGCGUGAGUGUCGGAGACCUUUUCUUCUGACUUAUUUCUUCUUCCUUCAACAACUAACAAUCCGCGUCUAUACCAUCAGUUUACUAAUUUUUUUUCUUUUAUCUCUUGUUUGGUUUAUGAAUUCUUUUCUUCAUGGUGGAAAGAAGUUGCUAGUUUUCUUUAUAACACAAACAAAACUGAAAAAGGAUCAAUGAUGAUUUCGAGAAGGAGUAUAUGUCCAAAUAUAAAAAUUAUGUAUCAUAUUUGUGAAGAUUUAUACAAUGAACUGGACAAGAACUCUGCAACAUGCCACAAAUAUAUACAAAAGAAUCAGACUAAAUCAAUUGGAGUCCCAUCUUCGGUACCAACUUCAGAUCAAUUGGGUUAGCAAAACUGUAACCUUCAGCAACCAAUUUGAUACCCAUUUCAAUCCCUCACAUUUCUCUUUGCCGUUUUCUGCAAUUUAUAUUCUUUUGUGCUUUUUUUUUUUUCUAGUUUCUUAUUAGUUUAGAAGUUUCAAUUGCUAAUUACUUUUUUUGGCUUAUGGUUCUUUAGAAAAUUGGCUUCCCUCCCACUGCGGCUUGUCUCACCGUCUUUUUGCCAGUUUGAUACCCAUCGUCUUCUAUCCACUCCGCUUGUCUCAAGCGACAACGAUGGCAGUAGUGGCGACAACAUAGGUGUUACUUUUUUCAACAGCAGGUCGCUUCAUUUCUCCUCGCCUCCUCCUCCCCUUAAGUCUCCUCUCUCACACUACUCACGAACUUCCUCGUCAUCGCCGCCCCUUUCUUUAAACAAAUAUGUUGUUGAUGCUUAAAAACUCGGUGAUUCUUGUGCGUUGUCGGUGGUGGAAGACGUCUGGGUGUGCCGUCGUGUGCCAUGUUCUAAUCUCAUUUUUAGUUUUUGAUUUUUUUUUUUUUCUUUUCCCGUUUUGAUUAUUGAUUUUAACUUUAGUAUUUCUAAUUUUGUUAAUUUGAUUUAAUUAAUUAAGUCUAGUAUAAUUUCUUUUAAUUUUAAUAGAAUAUAUAUAUUUGAAUACUAUUGGUUCUAAUAUAUUGAUAUGGCAUGU
This 1148-nucleotide long non-coding RNA is filed under the name Ricinus communis (castor bean). Its description in RNAcentral is "long non-coding RNA (RCOM_LNC001847)". The record is from RNAcentral. Lineage: Eukaryota; Viridiplantae; Streptophyta; Magnoliopsida; Malpighiales; Euphorbiaceae.